GCACCCGUAGCUCAGCCGGAUAGAGCGCUGCCCUCCGAAGGCAGAGGUCACAGGUUCGAAUCCUGUCGGGUGCGCCA
Molecule: transfer RNA, 77 nt
Filed under: Amaricoccus sp.
Lineage: Bacteria; Pseudomonadati; Pseudomonadota; Alphaproteobacteria; Rhodobacterales; Paracoccaceae
Also listed under: 6 other names
Description: tRNA-Arg
Rfam family: tRNA
About the family: Transfer RNA (tRNA) molecules are approximately 80 nucleotides in length.
Source: RNAcentral